This 200-nucleotide long non-coding RNA is filed under the name Gossypium raimondii (Peruvian cotton). Its description in RNAcentral is "long non-coding RNA (GRAI_LNC001097)". Lineage: Eukaryota; Viridiplantae; Streptophyta; Magnoliopsida; Malvales; Malvaceae. The record is from RNAcentral.
CCCAAUACACCACCUAAUUACAUACCAAAAAAAUUAAACCUAAAACCCAACUACAAAAUAGCCCAAACCCGAAUUUCCUAAUACCCAAUAAGGCCCAAACCAUUGACCCACAUACCUAGCCCUAAAACAUUUUCAAAACAAAACCCUAAAACAACUAUCUGCCUCAGCCGCCGCUAGCCACGUACUAAGCUUUCCGCGCG